RNAcentral lists this unclassified non-coding RNA (2517 nucleotides) under Daphnia pulicaria. Its description in RNAcentral is "multiple epidermal growth factor-like domains protein 6, transcript variant X1". Lineage: Eukaryota; Metazoa; Arthropoda; Branchiopoda; Diplostraca; Daphniidae. The record is from RNAcentral.
GAUGCUGAGCUUCAGAAAGUGGUCGACUACAAGGACCAUCCAACCACGAAUUGGAAGCACAAAUUUUACACAAGUUUGAGAAAAGCACCAUGAGUAUCACUAAGAUUCUCAUUUUGAUUGCUGUCUGCCUGGCAGCAGUAAGCGCUCACAAUUGCCCUUACAGCAAACGAUCUGCUGGGAAGAACCCUCAUAGCGCAAAUGCCAUCGACUUAACUGGUAAAGGAACAGGGUGCCCUUACGGAUAUACGAAAUCCGCUGGUUAUAGAACCCAAAGCAAAUGCCCUUACGGAUAUCCAAAAUCUGGAUUCAAUGAUGGACAGUGUCCUCAUGGAUUCAAAAAUACUAGCCCCGGAAGUGGAUGCCCCUGGGGAUUUAAUAAGCAAUCGUCUGUCGCUGGAACCAAAUGUCCAUUCGGAUAUGACAACGCCUUCGCUUCCAAAUCUGGCUGUCCUUAUGGCUUUAAGAAUUCCGACAAAGGAUGCCCACUUGGCGUUAAGAGAGGAUUCGUUGAAGGAUCUAAAUGCCCAUUCGGAUACAAGAAAGAAUCUAUCGGUGACGGGAAGUGCCCUGCUGGAUUUUCCGGAGUUUCAACUGGAAAGGGUUGCCCUAUUGGCUUCAAGCGACAAUUGGUUGAAGGAUCUCUAUGCCCCUUCGGAUACACCAGUGAAGAUGCGGCUGCUCCAGGCUGUCCUCACAAUUUCAAGAAAGGUGCUUCCGGAUGUCCAUUGGGACUGAAGAAAGGAUUAGUAGCUGGUUCUAAAUGCCCGUAUGGUGGAACUUUUGAAUCGGCUAACGACGGUAAAUGCCCUUUUGGAUACAAGUCAUCUGGAUCCGGAAAUGGAUGCCCUCUUGGACUGAAGAAACAACUAGUUGCAGGAAGCAAAUGCCCUUACGGAUUCGAUGGAGCUGCCAUGGCGGCCCAUGGUUGCCCACAUGGAUUUAAGAAAUCGGCUUCUGGCUGUCCAUAUGGCUUCAAUAAACCCGCUACAGCUUCUAACAAAUGCCCAUAUGGUUACGAGAAAAAAGCUGGAUACAGGACUAAAAGCAGCUGUCCGUACGGAUAUCCGAAAUCCGGAUUCAAUGACGGACAAUGCCCACAUGGAUUCAAAGCAACUGGUUCAAGUGCUGGAUGCCCAUGGGGUUUUGCGCAAUCAUCUGUGGCUGGAACCAAAUGCCCAUUCGGAUAUGACAAAGCCUCCGCUUCCAAGUCUGGCUGUCCUUACGGCUUCAAGAAUACUGACACAGGAUGCCCACUAGGAGUGAAGAAAGGACUCGUCGAAGGAUCAAAGUGCCCAUUCGGAUACAACAAAGAAUCAAUUGGCGACGGAAAGUGCCCCGCUGGAUUUUCUGGAGUGUCAACUGGAAAGGGUUGCCCUAUUGGCUUUAAGCGACAAUUGGUUGAAGGAUCUCUGUGCCCCUUUGGAUACACUAGAGAAGAUGCGGCUGCACCAGGCUGCCCUCACAACUUCAAGAAAGGUGUCUCCGGAUGUCCAUUGGGACUCAAGAAAGGAUUAGUCGCUGGAUCCAAAUGCCCUUACGGCGGCACUUUCGAAGGAGCUAAUGACGGAAAGUGCCCAUUUGGAUACAAGUCGACUGGUUCUGGUAAUGGCUGCCCACUCGGACUGAAGAAACAACUAGUUGCAGGAAGCAAGUGCCCCUACGGAUUUGGCCAGAGUGAUGCUGCAGCUAACGGAUGCCCCCACGGCUUUAAGAAAUCUGCAUCUGGCUGUCCUUAUGGGUUCAGCAAAACACAAGCAACUGCGCACAAAUGUCCUUACCACUCGAUGAAAGCCGACUACAAGGCCAAGAGCAGAUGCCCCUAUGGAUACCCGAAGGUCGGAUUCAAUGACGGAAACUGCCCACAUGGAUUCAAUAAGACUGGCUCUGGCGAUCCUUGCCCAUUCGGAUUCAAGCAAUCUUCAUCGGAUUCCACCCGUUGCCCAUUCGGUUACUCCGCAUCUGAGAUUAAGCCCGGUUGUCCCCUGAACUUCAAGAAAUCUGACUCUGGCUGCCCUCUUGGUUUAAAGCGAGGAUUGGUGGAAGGAUCUACGUGCCCCUUCGGUUACACGAGAGAGGCUGCUACUGAUGGAAAAUGCCCACUUGGAUUUGAGGGACCUACUUCUGGAAAGGGAUGCCCUCUUGGACUCAAGAAACGUUCGGUAGAAGGAACUCUAUGCCCUUACGGAUACACGAAGGAGGGAGCGGUAGCUUCCGGUUGCCCUUACGGAUUCAAGAAAAAUGCUGGUGGAUGUCCCUUCGGUAUCAAGCGAGGACUAGUUGAAGGCUCGAAAUGCCCAUUUGGAUUUUCGCUCACCCAAUCGACCGAUGGCAAGUGUCCCCUCGGCUUCGUGUCUUCUGGUUCUGGACACGGUUGUCCCUUUGGAAUCAAAGUAAAAACAGAUGGUUGCCGGAAGUAAAUGUCCUUAUGGAUUCACGACCGCCGAUUCUUCAGCUAGUGGUUGCCCUCAUGGCUUCAAGAAAUCUGCUAAUGGACAAGGAUGCCCAUUCGGAAUUCAA